This 425-nucleotide ribosomal RNA is filed under the name Acidobacteriota bacterium. Its description in RNAcentral is "Acidobacteria bacterium partial 16S ribosomal RNA". It matches the Rfam family "Bacterial small subunit ribosomal RNA", at positions 355 to 776 of the family's 1533-position model. The record is from RNAcentral. Lineage: Bacteria; Pseudomonadati; Acidobacteriota.
UGAGGAAUAUUGGUCAAUGGGCGCAGGCCUGAACCAGCCAAGUAGCGUGAAGGAUGAAGGCUCUAUGGGUCGUAAACUUCUUUUAUAUGGGAAUAAAGUUGAGUAUGUAUACUUUUUUGUAUGUACCAUAUGAAUAAGGAUCGGCUAACUCCGUGCCAGCAGCCGCGGUAAUACGGAGGAUCCGAGCGUUAUCCGGAUUUAUUGGGUUUAAAGGGAGCGUAGGUGGAUUGUUAAGUCAGUUGUGAAAGUUUGCGGCUCAACCGUAAAAUUGCAGUUGAAACUGGCAGUCUUGAGUACAGUAGAGGUGGGCGGAAUUCGUGGUGUAGCGGUGAAAUGCUUAGAUAUCACGAAGAACUCCGAUUGCGAAGGCAGCUCACUAGACUGGUGACUGACACUGAGGCUCGAAAGUGUGGGUAUCAAACAGG